RNAcentral lists this small RNA (134 nucleotides) under Salmonella enterica subsp. enterica. RNAcentral describes it as "RtT sRNA". It matches the Rfam family "RtT RNA". From Rfam's summary of the family: This family represents a bacterial cis-regulatory element known as RtT RNA. The exact function of RtT is unknown although it is thought that it may be involved in changing the cellular response in relation to amino acid starvation. Lineage: Bacteria; Pseudomonadati; Pseudomonadota; Gammaproteobacteria; Enterobacterales; Enterobacteriaceae. RNAcentral also lists the same sequence under 1 other name. The record is from RNAcentral.
UGUAUCUGAGGUCUGACGAGGAUGAGAACCUCCGGGGGCAAGAGGUUCGACCCGAGCGCAGCGAGAGAACGUUGCUUCAGCAACGGCCCGCAGGGCGAGCCACGCAGUGGCGAGUCAUCCUCUAUCACCGACCA